GUGAAUCAUCGAAUCUUUGAACGCACCUUGCGCUCUUUGGUAUUCCGAAGAGCAUGCUUGUUUGAGUGUCAUUAAAUUCUCAACCCAUCCAGCUUUGAUAAGUUGGCGUGUGGCUUGGAUUGUGGGAGUUGUGCUGGCAUUGAUAAAAAGUCAGCUCUCCUGAAAUGCAUUAGCGGAACGGUUUGCGGUCUGUCACUGGUGUGAUAAUUAUCUACGCCAAAGAACGCUCUCUGUCUGUUCAGCUUCUAAUGGUCCCGUCAUGUGGACAACCUUUUGAAUGUUUGACCUCAAAUCAAGUAGGACUACCCGCUGAACUUAAGCAUAUCAAUAAGCGGAGGA
This 339-nucleotide unclassified non-coding RNA is filed under the name Cystolepiota sp. RNAcentral's name for it is "partial contains 5.8S ribosomal RNA, internal transcribed spacer 2, and large subunit ribosomal RNA". The stretch from base 1 to 71 matches the Rfam family "5.8S ribosomal RNA", at positions 84 to 154 of the family's 154-position model. Lineage: Eukaryota; Fungi; Basidiomycota; Agaricomycetes; Agaricales; Agaricaceae. The record is from RNAcentral.